AGUUGUCUCAUCUUGUGCAGGCCCUGCAAGCCAUCCGUAAAAAUAAAACGCACAGGAAAAUUUAAAGGAAGUUCAGCCCGGCAAUUGCACAGCCUCUUAUACCGUUACAUCUGGAGAUCACCACAGCAAACAGAAACACAAAUUGACCACGUUUUGAUCGACGGUCGGCACUUCUCGGAUAUCAUCGACGUCAGAAUCUAUCGUGGCGCUAAUUCAGACCACUACCUGAUGGUCAAACUGUGUUCUAAACUGUCAGUCGUCAAUAACAUAAGACACCAGCGCUCACCACGGUACCACCUAUGAUGACUAUAGGAGUCGAACGUUGCUGCAACAUACUCGCAGCAUCUUGAAGGUGCGUUACCAGGGGUGGAAGAACUGGAUGCUGCUGCCCACGAUGAAUCUUCUUGAAUGGCGUUAACGUUCCCUGUGGAACUUUUGCCGUCUCAACGUAUGCAUUAACUAGCAACGGGAAUCGAACCCGAACACCCGGCAUGAUAAUGUGAGACGCUAACCACUCGGCCACGGGUGCCCUCGAUGAAUGCUGAACACAUUAAAAGCAGCAAUUAGCAGCACAGCAGAGACCGUUUUUGGGUAUGAACAACGAAGAUAACGGAACGAAUGGUUUUGUAGCAGUCACGCUACAAGUUGAGUAUAAAUAAUUAUUAGGGUAGCAGGACAAACAACUCGAACUGCUUUCUAGCACGCCUUACGCCAAACGGCAUAGAUAAAUUGUAUACAAGCGUUGUGUAGUUGGACACAAGCACAGCGAUUCAUGUUCCGUCACACAUACACACCUUUCAAGGUCGACUGGACGCAGUUCCUCACAAUUGGGCUACUUAUGCGCGGCUUAGCGAGAAUCCCGAUGUCAGAUUUCGAGAGGCGACUCCGAUACUCGCGAGAAUGCAGACCCAUGAGAGCGGAAAUCGUUUCUUUGCUCUGUUUCGAGCGAGUUUCGGAAAGAACAUUAUUCGCUUUAACAAAUAUCCAACAGACUCCGACCCCGUACGAAGUAUACCAUCCCUAAUUCGACCGGUUGAUAUCUAUGGGCACGAUGCAUGGACGAUGUUUGAAGAGGACUCACAAGCGGUUGGUGUUUUUAAACGCCGAGUGCUCAGAACAAUAUACAGUGGUGUACAGGAAAACGGAGUAUGGAGAAGAUGAAUGAACCACGAACUGGCGCAACUCUACGGCGAAACCAGCAUCCAGAAAGUUGCCAAGGCUGGACGAGUGCGAUGGGCAGGGCAUGUUCCAAGAUUGCCGAACAUCAGCCCUGCAAAGAUAGUGUUCGCAUCGAAUCCGAUAGGAACAAGGAGAGCGAGGUAAUUGGACCAGGUGGAGCAAGACUUAGCAAGAAUCUGUGCAGCCGGGAGUUGGAGAAUUGCAGCUAUGGAUCGGAUUUAUUGGCGAAAAGAUGUGAAUCAGAUCUGAUCUAUGAAUGGGAUGGCCACUUAACUAUAUCUUCUAUAAAAACAACAAACAUGGCAAUAUUUGCAAGUAUUAAGUGUUCUGCCCAUGUUUGCAUAGGAGACGUAAUCACCAACACCAUUAGUGUUGGGAAAACGCAUUUUUGUUGUUUUUUGGCCUACAAGCAUAACCAUGCAAACUUCCAAUGAAAUGAUCUGUCUAUUUGAAGGAUAUUAUCGGCAAAAAGAGAGCCUAGUAGAUUUGGCGGAUUAACACAUAUAUUUUCCAUUUGGAAAACGCAUGCGUCUAACAAUCAGUCAUUUCAAUGAACAUUUGUUCGCAUAACUAGACGUAAUCACCAGGUUGCUUUGUCUGUAGUGUUAGCAUUUACCUUUCCGAUAAUAGUCAAAACGGCUCUGUCGAUAGUUUCAGUUGUUGUCGGAUAAAAUCAAAUAGGUUUGGAAGAAAUUCCAAUGAACUAACCAUCACAUGAAGGAAUUGAA
Long non-coding RNA from Toxorhynchites rutilus septentrionalis, 1907 nucleotides. RefSeq lists it as uncharacterized. NCBI's taxonomy places the organism in Eukaryota, Metazoa, Arthropoda, Insecta, Diptera, Culicidae. The record is from RefSeq and is a predicted model, not a curated record. The transcript has 3 exons.